UUAAGAGAUACGGUUCUUCCCUUCCUGGAGCUUACGAUGCAGUGAGGAGAUGGCAACCUGAUAAGAAUAGAAUUAAGUGGGUUUGGGACAAGACACUAUAUCAGACUCUGAAAAGUCAACAUAAAAAGCACUAAAAGAACUGCUAUUGCCGAGAGGGCCUAGAGGCAAUAGCAUUCAACAGCAACAAGCAAACCCAGGAACCAGAUCUGGGUUUCUGAUACCAUUGUCCAAUAGAAGGAAUUCAGGUCCUUUGGAGAAACAGCUGAUUCUAAGGCUGGAGCAUGUAAUAUACAAGAUGAACCUGGGGUAUCUUGUAGCACAGAAAAUAAGGAAGUACUCAAAAACCAAACUGAUGGGAUAUGUCAAGGGGACACAAGAGUCAGCUGAAAGAGCUCCCACAGGCUACUUGAAGAGCAAAAUAAAUAAUAUAGUAUUGGAUUAUAACCCAAAGUCUAAAAUAAAUAAUUCUGAGCCCUGUUAUGGGCUGAAUUGUAUCCUCCCCCCCCCCCACAAUUAUUUGCUGAAGCCCUAACCCCCGGUGAUACUCUAUUUGGAAAUAGGGCCUUUAAGGAAGUAAAUAAGGCUAAAUGAGGUCAUAAGGGUGGGGUCCUAGACCCGAAGGACUAGUGCCCUUUUAAGAGGAAGAGACACCAGAAAUCCUUCUCUCUUGGUAUGUGCACAGUGAGGAUAUGGUGAGAAGGUAGCCAUCUGUAAACUGAGGAGAGAGGUCUCAUCAGGAACCAACCCUCUUAUUACCUAGAUCUUAGAGUUCCAGCCUCCAGAACAGCAAGAAAAUUAAUUUCUAUUAUUGAAGCCACCCAGUCUAUGGUAUUUUGUUAUGGCAGCCCUAGUAGACUCAUGCAAGUCCAUACUAAUAUAAAUGACUGAAUAUACAGAUAAGUGGGGAGAAGAGACAAAUUCCUAUACAUUAGAAUUUUAAAAAAAUGUAUGUGGAUACUGCCCCCUUGAGGAGGUAGAGCACAACUCCCUACACUGUGUGCAGUGACUUUCUUCCAAAGAUACAGUAUGGAAAGGGGGUAAAAGUACAGAAGAGUAACAUCAUCAGUGGUAAUUCAUGUUGAUAAUGUACCCUUGAUAUGACGUAGUGAGAACGGCACUUUACCUCCCCCAAACUAUAAUCCCAGUCGAAGCAAAAGAAAAACAUCAGACAAACCCAAAUUGAGGGCCACUUUACAGAAUUUCUCCAAAGUGUCCAGGUCACCCAAAAGAAGCAAAGUCUAAAACUGUCACAGUUUAAUGGAUCCUAAGGAGACGUGAUGACUAACUGUGACGUGAGACCCUGGAUGGAAUCCUGGAGCAAAGCACUAGACCCUGUCAGCUGCACUUUUCCAACCGCAGUCAAAGUGGCUCUACAACUCCAAACCCUGUUCCUCCUGGAUUUUCGUGCUGGCCGUCAACCAAGAACUGGCCCCAGCUGUACUGGCCUCUAAUUUGCUUAACUCUUUCCUCUUCUUUACUCUUAUGUUGAGAGUUAGAGAUGGAGGAAAGGAGAUUCAUUCAUUCUUCCCACAAGUAUUUAUCGGACACCUAUUAUAUGCCAGCCACUGGGGUUACAGCAGUGAAUAAGGCAGGCGAGGUCCCUGCCCAUAGAAGCCACAUUGUGAAGGAUGGGUAACAUCAUGGCGCACUUAUUAUUGCUACAAGAUUUAUUUGCAUGUGUGCUUUCAUUUAGUGCUGAUGAUGUAGGCACUACUGUCAUCCUCAUUUACCGAGACACAGAUGCCAAUUGACUUACCCAAUAUCAUGCAGCUAGUAAGUGACGGAGACACAAUUUAAAUCAAAGGACUCAGAUUCCAGAACGCUUGGAUUCCUAACCGUGAUAAUAUUGAUAAAAUUGUUCUUUUGUGUAGAUAA
Lagenorhynchus albirostris (white-beaked dolphin) is the source of this 1875-nucleotide long non-coding RNA. RefSeq lists it as uncharacterized. The record is from RefSeq and is a predicted model, not a curated record. Lineage: Eukaryota; Metazoa; Chordata; Mammalia; Artiodactyla; Delphinidae. The transcript is spliced from 3 exons.